RNAcentral lists this transfer RNA (76 nucleotides) under Gammaproteobacteria bacterium. Its description in RNAcentral is "tRNA-Lys". It matches the Rfam family "tRNA". Rfam says of the family: Transfer RNA (tRNA) molecules are approximately 80 nucleotides in length. Lineage: Bacteria; Pseudomonadati; Pseudomonadota; Gammaproteobacteria. The record is from RNAcentral.
GGGUCAUUAGCUCAGUUGGUAGAGCAGUGGACUUUUAAUCCAUUGGUCGUAGGUUCGAAUCCCACAUGACCCACCA